AGGUGAGUAGCUCAGUUGGUAGAGCAGCGGUCUCCAAAACCGCAGGCCGCAGGUUCGACCCCUGUCUCACCUGCCA
This 76-nucleotide transfer RNA is filed under the name Lentisphaeria bacterium. Its description in RNAcentral is "tRNA-Trp". It matches the Rfam family "tRNA". Rfam says of the family: Transfer RNA (tRNA) molecules are approximately 80 nucleotides in length. Their secondary structure includes four short double-helical elements and three loops (D, anti-codon, and T loops). Further hydrogen bonds mediate the characteristic L-shaped molecular structure. tRNAs have two regions of fundamental functional importance: the anti-codon, which is responsible for specific mRNA codon recognition, and the 3' end, to which the tRNAs corresponding amino acid is attached (by aminoacyl-tRNA synthetases). tRNAs cope with the degeneracy of the genetic code in two manners: having more than one tRNA (with a specific anti-codon) for a particular amino acid; and 'wobble' base-pairing, i.e. permitting non-standard base-pairing at the 3rd anti-codon position. The record is from RNAcentral. Lineage: Bacteria; Pseudomonadati; Lentisphaerota; Lentisphaeria.